This is a long non-coding RNA of Marmota monax (woodchuck), 2413 nucleotides long. RefSeq lists it as uncharacterized. The transcript has 3 exons. Lineage: Eukaryota; Metazoa; Chordata; Mammalia; Rodentia; Sciuridae. The record is from RefSeq and is a predicted model, not a curated record.
CGGCCCGCCGUCUCGGGAAUUACUUCCGGGUCAUCUAGCCAUGCGCACACUAUCACCGAUUAGAAAAUGAGGUCUCCGAUUCAGGCCAAUCAUAAAAUAGGGGGCGGAGUCUUGGGUCUAGGGGCGGGACCACUCUUGACUGAUCAGAUUAGGGGCAGGGCCAAGAGAACCUCUAUCUAGGGCGGGGCCCAGAGGAAAGAAGAGAGCGUAGGACGCCCACUUGUGUUUGUUUAACGGAUGGGCGUCACAGGCUUUGGGAACUGUCAGUGGAGGCACCUGCGCUUGGUGAGGGCGUGAGCACGUGUUGCGGGCAGGAACCUUGCCUAAAGAGCGGAGUCUGCGACGGGGAAGUCUGUACUCGAUGGUCUUGCUAAGUUAUCCAGGCUAGCCUUGAACUUGGGACCUUCCUGCCUCAGCCUCCAGAGUGGCUGGGAUUAUAGUGGUGUUCCAGCUGUACAGGAGGGAUGGUAAUGUGCCAGGGUCACAGAGAGAAGAGCUGCCACAUGUGUGCAUGAAGCAUGGUGAACUCUGUUUAGCAGAAUGAUGGAGAAGUUCAUCCCCAGAAACCUAAUUCAAGCAAAUGUGUUUGACUGACCUCACCAAGGACCUCAGUUGUGAAGGUCCCUCAGAUCCUAUAUGGAAGGAAGAAGAGAAUUUAACAUUUGUGUACCAGCACAUUAUGUGUAAUAUCUGAUUCAGUGCUCAUAAUUAAAAUGCCAUCCUCUUGAGGCUCCUCAAGAUGAGUGGGAGGGCUGGGUCUGUAGCUCAGUGGUAGAGCACUUGCCUCACACAUGUGAGGCACUGGGUUCGAUCCUCAAUACCACAUAAAAAUAAAUAAAUAAAGAUAUUGUGUUCAUGUACAACUAAAAAAUAUUUUAAAAAAAAGAUGAGUGGGAAAUGUGUUUUCAUCUAUAUAAAGCUGGAUUUGAUCCCAGGUCUGCUUGCCUUCAAGCCCCUUCAACUUUGCUCAUAUCUUGUGAUUUGGCAUUUGGCUCAAAAGACAUGAAAUCUUGAUGGGGAAAGUUUAGGAAACUCAGCCUGGACCAGGUCACAAGUAUCAGCUUUUUGAGCCACAAGACAAUGAAGUACCAAGAACAAAUACAUCAUCCAAAACCCAAACUCUUUAUUUCCGAAGCUGAACUCAAGAGAUCUGUAUCAGAUCCAAGGAGGUUUAUGUGAUUAUAUUGAUGUUAAGAGAAUGGCCACUAGAGCUUACUUGAAGCAGUGUAGAGUGCGUGAGAACACAGUGCCUGAAGGAUCCUACUCCUGAAUGCUAAAUGACCAGUGACUUUGAGCAAAUCAUUUAACCCUUCUGGGCUUCAGUGUUCAAAGUAAGGUAAGCCUAGAAGGACUAAGGUCUUCUGUUUAAAAGAAUGAGGGAUUGGGCUGGGGAUGUGGCUCAGUGGUGGAGCACUUGCUUAAUAUGCACAAGGCUCUGGGUUCAAUCCCCAUCACCGUACUUACACACCAAAGAGUGAAAUAAAAGAAGUAGGGAGGAUCCAGGUAUGGUGGCACACACCUAUAAUCCCAGCAACUGUAGAAGCUGUGACAGGAAGAGCACCAGUUCAAGACCAACCUAGGGAAUUUGGUGAAACCCUGUCUCAAAAUAAAAUUUUAAAAAGGGCAAGGCACAAUGACCCAUGCCUGUAAUCCCAGUGAUUUGGGAGACUGAGAUAGGAGGUUCAUAGAUUUGAAGCCAGCCUCAGCAAUUUAGCGAGACUCUAAGCAACUUAGUAAGACCCUGUCUCAAAAUAAAACCUAAAAAUGGUAGUGAAUGUGACUUAAUGAUAGAUCACCCCUGGGUUUAAUCCUUAUGUUUCUGCCCCUCCCCUUCAAAAGUAAAGCUACUAUAAAUAUGUGUAGAGUUUUGUGUUACUAUACGUUUUUAACUCCUUUGAGUAAAAAGGAAUACAGUUGAUAGAUUUAUGGUCAGAGUAUGUUUGGUUAAGAAAUUGCCAAUUGCCGGUAUUGGUGGUGCACAUCUCUAAUCCCAGCAAUUUGGGAGGCUGAGGCAGGAGGAUCACAGUUUCAAAACCAUCCUCUGCAAAAAGCAAGGCAAUAAGUAAUCAGUGAGACCCUGUCUCUAAUAAAAUACAAAAUAGAGUUGGGGAUGUGGCUUAGUGGUUGAGUGUCCCUUAGUUCAAUCCCUGGAACCCCUCCAAAAGAGAAAUCACCAAUUGUGUCAGGCACGGUAGUGCUCACCUGUAGUCCUAGUUCAAAGCCAGCCUCAGCAACUUAGCAAGGCCCUGUCUCUAAAUAAAAUAUUUAAAAGAAUUGGGAUAUGGUUUUAAUGGUUAAGCACACCUGGGUUCAAUCCUUGGUACAAAAAAAAAAAAUUCCCACCAACGAAUGACAGUUCCUGUUGCUCUGUGUUCUCUGCAGCAUUUUGUAUUGUCAGUGGUCAUUUUGGCUA